UAAAUAACAUCCCCAACCUUAAACUAUCAUUCAAAUGUAAGGAAAAUAUCAAAUCUAUUUUUUCUCACACCAAAGAUAAAAUUGGAAAAACAUCAAAAAGUGGUAUAUACAAAUUGUCCUGUGGAGACUGCCCUGUUACCUAUGUGGGGAGAACUAUGCGACCUUUGGAAACACGCAUCAAAGAACAUUUGUCUAAGAUUGACAAAUCUAGUUUUGGCAAUCACUUACAUGCUUCUAAACAUAACUUCAGUCCCCAAAGAGAUAGUAGGAUUCUACAUAGUAUACCCAUUAACAACUAUACAAAAAUGAAUUUAUUAGAAGACUUAGAAAUUAGCAGGGAAUUAAAAAGAAAUCCUCAAAAUUGUGUUAACACCCAGGUUCAAUUAAAUUGUAAAUUUGAUCCAAUCUUUAAGAAGUUUCUUUAAUACUGUUAUAUUCAGCAUGCCCAACAAUUGCUCUAGUUUUUUGAACAUUACUUUAUAACAUAUUUGAAUUUUCUUUCAUUGAUUACAAUUAAAUUAAAUAUUUUCGAUUUGGCUUUUUUAAUAAUAAUAUUGUUUUCAAACAGUUUUGGAACUCUGAGCUUGUCCAACGGUGCUUCUCCUUGGUUUUCAUCUAUCUCACUUCUAUAUUUGGUCAGAACUGACUGGUUGUUUGGUUUUUUUAAUAAUUAAUAAUACUUUGAUAAUUUGAUUAUUUUCACAUUUAACUUUAAUUUAAACUUAACAAUUGUCAUUUAAAUUUAACUUUAGUUUUUCAUAUUAACUUUAACGUCAUACCAAUUAGUUAACUACAUAUGACAACUUAGUCAUUUUCAAAAAUUUUAAAUAAUUUUAAUAACACAGAUGUCGCUAGGAACUAUUGUUUCCGUCAGCAGGCUGUCGUUUUGAAUAUUGUCAGUAACAGCUGUUCUUUGUACGAAUGGUGGCCAUUUUAUAAAAAAAACACAUUAAAUGUGAUUUUUAACAUUUAAGGGUUUUUUACCCUAACCAGUGGUUAUAUCCCUGGGUUAAUUUUUAAAAUAUAGAAUGUGUUUGUUCGAAGUUUUCUCUUCUUUUGAGGUUUUUACACCUAUAAGACGAUAGCUCUGAUGAUGGCAUUAAUAUGCUGAAAGUACUUAGCUGAUUUAAUAAAUUAAUUUACACAC
RNAcentral lists this long non-coding RNA (1147 nucleotides) under Diabrotica virgifera virgifera (western corn rootworm). Its description in RNAcentral is "uncharacterized LOC126890476". The record is from RNAcentral. Lineage: Eukaryota; Metazoa; Arthropoda; Insecta; Coleoptera; Chrysomelidae.